RNAcentral lists this ribosomal RNA (254 nucleotides) under uncultured bacterium. RNAcentral's name for it is "partial 16S ribosomal RNA". It matches the Rfam family "Bacterial small subunit ribosomal RNA", at positions 524 to 776 of the family's 1533-position model. The record is from RNAcentral.
UACGGGGGGAGCAAGCGUUGUUCGGAUUUACUGGGCGUAAAGGGCGCGUAGGCGGCCAGCACAAGUCAGUUGUGAAAUCUCCGAGCUUAACUCGGAACGGUCAACUGAUACUGUGCGGCUAGAGUGCGGAAGGGGCUACCGGAACAAAUGGUGGAGCGGUGAAAUGCGUAGAUAUCAUUUGGAACGCCAAUGGUGAAAACAGGUAGCUGGGGCUGUGCUGACGCUGAGACACGAAAGCCAGGGGAGCAAACGGG